GUGCCAGCAGCCGCGGUAACACGUAGGGCGCAAGCGUUGUCCGGAAUUAUUGGGCGUAAAGAGCUCGUAGGCGGUCUGUUGCGUCCGCUGUGAAAACUCGGGGCUUAACCCCGAGCCUGCAGUGGAUACGGGCAGACUAGAGGUAGGUAGGGGAGAAUGGAAUUCCCGGUGUAGCGGUGAAAUGCGCAGAUAUCGGGAGGAACACCGGUGGCGAAGGCGGUUCUCUGGGCCUUACCUGACGCUGAGGAGCGAAAGCGUGGGGAGCGAACAGGAUUAGAUACCCCCGUAGUCC
Molecule: ribosomal RNA, 292 nt
Filed under: uncultured bacterium
Lineage: Bacteria
Description: partial 16S ribosomal RNA
Rfam family: Bacterial small subunit ribosomal RNA
Source: RNAcentral